RNAcentral lists this ribosomal RNA (458 nucleotides) under uncultured bacterium. RNAcentral describes it as "partial 16S ribosomal RNA". It matches the Rfam family "Bacterial small subunit ribosomal RNA", at positions 29 to 507 of the family's 1533-position model. The record is from RNAcentral.
AACGAACGCUGGCGGCAUGCCUAACACAUGCAAGUCGAACGAGACCUUCGGGUCUAGUGGCGCACGGGUGCGUAACGCGUGGGAACCUGCCCUUAUGUUCGGAAUAACUCCCCGAAAGGGGUGCUAAUACCGGAUAAUGUCUUCGGACCAAAGAUUUAUCGCCUUUGGAUGGGCCCGCGUUGGAUUAGCUAGUUGGUAGGGUAAAAGCCUACCAAGGCGACGAUGCAUAGCUGGUCUGAGAGGAUGAUCAGCGACACUGGAACUGAGACACGGCCCAGACUCCGACGGGAGGCAGCAGUAGGGAAGGUGCCGCAAUGGGCGAAAGCCUGACGUAGCAACGCAGCGUGAGUGAUGAAGGUCUUCGGAUCGGAGAACUCUGUUAGUAGGGAAGAACAUAAAUGGAAGUGACUGUGCACAUCUUGACGGUACCUAAACAGAAAGCCACGGCGAACUACGUG